UACAGAGGUCUCAAGCGUUGUUCGGAUUCAUUGGGCGUAAAGGGUGCGUAGGUGGCGCGGUAAGUCGGGUGUGAAAUUUCGGAGCUUAACUCCGAAACUGCAUUCGAUACUGCCGUGCUUGAGGACUGGAGAGGAGACUGGAAUUUACGGUGUAGCGGUGAAAUGCGUAGAUAUCGUAAGGAAGACCAGUGGCGAAGGCGGGUCUCUGGACAGUUCCUGACGCUGAGGCACGAAGGCCAGGGGAGCAAACGGG
This 253-nucleotide ribosomal RNA is filed under the name uncultured bacterium. Its description in RNAcentral is "partial 16S ribosomal RNA". It matches the Rfam family "Bacterial small subunit ribosomal RNA", at positions 524 to 776 of the family's 1533-position model. The record is from RNAcentral.